RNAcentral lists this ribosomal RNA (254 nucleotides) under uncultured bacterium. RNAcentral describes it as "partial 16S ribosomal RNA". It matches the Rfam family "Bacterial small subunit ribosomal RNA", at positions 524 to 776 of the family's 1533-position model. The record is from RNAcentral.
UACAGAGGGUGCAAGCGUUAAUCGGAUUUACUGGGCGUAAAGGGCGCGUAGGUGGUAAAGCAAGUAAGAUGUGAAAGCCCUGGGCUUAACCUGGGAAGUGCAUCUUAAACUGCUUAACUAGAGUAUGGUAGAGGGUAGUGGAAUUUCCGGUGUAGCGGUGAAAUGCGUAGAGAUCGGAAGGAACGCCAGUGGUGAAGACGACUACCUGGACCAAUACUGACACUGAGGCGCGAAAGCGUGGGGGAUCAAACAGG